AUUGAACGCUGGCGGCAGGCCUAACACAUGCAAGUCGAGCGGAUGAAGGGAGCUUGCUCCUGGAUUCAGCGGCGGACGGGUGAGUAAUGCCUAGGAAUCUGCCUGGUAGUGGGGGAUAACGUCCGGAAACGGGCGCUAAUACCGCAUACGUCCUGAGGGAGAAAGUGGGGGAUCUUCGGACCUCACGCUAUCAGAUGAGCCUAGGUCGGAUUAGCUAGUUGGUGGGGUAAAGGUCUACCAAGGCGACGAUCCGUAACUGGUCUGAGAGGAUGAUCAGUCACACUGGAACUGAGACACGGUCCAGACUCCUACGGGAGGCAGCAGUGGGGAAUAUUGGACAAUGGGCGAAAGCCUGAUCCAGCCAUGCCGCGUGUGCGAAGAAGGUCUUCGGAUUGUAAAGCACUUUAAGUUGGGAGGAAGGGCAGUAAGUUAAUACCUUGCUGUUUUGACGUUACCAACAGAAUAAGCACCGGCUAACUUCGUG
Molecule: ribosomal RNA, 484 nt
Filed under: uncultured bacterium
Lineage: Bacteria
Description: partial 16S ribosomal RNA
Rfam family: Bacterial small subunit ribosomal RNA
Source: RNAcentral